This is a long non-coding RNA of Acinonyx jubatus (cheetah), 2161 nucleotides long. RefSeq lists it as uncharacterized. The transcript has 3 exons. The record is from RefSeq and is a predicted model, not a curated record. NCBI's taxonomy places the organism in Eukaryota, Metazoa, Chordata, Mammalia, Carnivora, Felidae.
UCAAAGGUGUAGAACAUGAGGGGAAGGACGGGACAAGCAGACAGCGAGAUCAAUGAAUCACGGGCAUCACGGAUGUAGAGCUGAGGUAAAGCACAGAAGACCAGAAGCAGAGUCAAGCCAGGAGGACAGGCUGAUGGGGACAGGCCCAGAAGAUCAGGCUGAAGGGACCAGAUCGGCCGUCUGGACCCUCGAGGGGUUGGUUGAGCAAGGAGCACACCAAUCAAUGUUCACGUGGCCCCAAGGGACUCUGUUCACCCUUAGGAGCCAUUCAUGGUAGCGUAGAGCAGUCUCAAGCUCUUUCCUCCCCUCACUGGCUGGGAAGGAGGAGCUCAUCCACUUUGGGCAGGGGUUUAGCUGAGAAGGCAAGUGACAAACAAAAGCUAGACAAAUCUAAUCUAAUCCUCUGAUUUCCAGAUGAGGAACCUAAGAGAGCCCCCACAUCUCACAACCUGUUGGUGCCCCCAGAGGUCCUAAAUCCCAGCUCUGGACCUUUUCCACCAUGGCUCACGUUACUGUCUCAUCAGUUCUCUACCCUGGGAUGGUAUUUCUUCUCAUCUGACCUGGGCAGAGCUCAGAGGACGGAGGACGGCCUCACACUUUGCACCCAUGACUCUCUUGGACUGAAUGGUAUGCAAGACAAGCCCUAGCUGAAGAAACAACGGAGAUCAAGAAACAAACAAACAGACAACAGAUUCCUGAACCUGGCUUUCACAUGGCCCCAGGCCGCUUUCCUGACCUGGUGUCCUCCAAUUUCUUCCAUGCCCAGGAAGUUCCAGACAAACCAACCAGACCUCGUUCUCCUAGACACAGCAUACACUCGAUUCAUGCCAUUUCCCCUUGGAAUCGCCUUCUGUUCUCAGCUCACUCACCUCGCUGAAAAAAAUCCCACUUAACUUUCGAUGUCCAAGCCAACGCCGGCUCCUCCGAUGCCGACCCUCUUUCAGGCAGAAUUAGCUGUUCCCUCUUCUACACCUUCCCAGCAUUCUAUUCACGGGGCUAAUCUACUGACCAACAGUUUCGGUAAGCUACCUUUCUUGCCUCCCUCCAAAAAGAUAUAGGCCCUUCUUUUUGGUCUCCUACGUAAUCAAGUAACUCUGUUACACUUACACCCUAUGCUACUGUGUGUGCUUGAGUGGGUGUGUGUGAGUGGGCACCGAGUUUCAUAACCUGUCUGUCUACUACAUUAAACCACGAUCUCCUCAAAGAUCAAUACUGUCUUAUCUUUCUUUGAAUCCCUCGCGCCAAGAGAGAGCACAGAGUUUUAGUAGCCACUAAAUAAUUCUUCAGUCAAAAUUAAAAUUAGACAUCAUCCCCUAGUCAGCCUCUCCCAGCCCUAAGAAGUGGGCUUCUGUCACCACAGCACACUGUGCAUACCAACUUUAACUGAGACUAUCUGCCGAUGAGUCCAUGUCCUUGACUAAGACUGGAGACCAAUGUUCGAGAACAACGGAACAGAGUUUCCCGUUGUUUCUUUUCAGGCAUACGCACCGCAUCUUUCACCACUCGUACGUUUUGACAUCUCCUCCAGCCCUGGACUGAGAGCAAGCAUUUAGCAAGUAUCUGUCAAGUGGCAGACCCUUCUUGAAUGUUCGAGAAUAAGUUGAGAGGACGCCAUGUCCGUCUCAGCUGUGUUUCCAGGAAAGGACGGAUUGAGCCUUUCAGGGCUACGCCCCCCAACCUUAACUGAUGUCCUGUAUCUAUCCUGGUAUUUCAGUGUGAUUAGUCAAGUCACCACAAACGAGAAUCUGUCACUGUCCUCAUUUCCAGCUCAUUUACAUGGUCCGACACCGGCCACUUUGCUCCUCUCCAGUUGUCCCAAUAUGUUCACCAGAUUGGCAUGUAUCAUACUAACCUUGCCCAGGAGUAAAAAUAAAAUAAAAUAAAAUUAGAUGAGACACAGAAAUAAAAUUCUCAGAUAAAUUAAAAGUAAUGCCUACUUAUGUGACAAGUUCUAUUCGAAACUGAGGGUUGGGUCACUGUUCAAUGCAAUCAGAGUAACACAGGCCUACUGAGUAAUGACAACUUUUAACAUUACUUUCCCCACAACUGAAGAAUUUUUGAAAUUUUGUUUUUAAAAAAUACACCACAAAUACCAGGCUGUUUAUAAGCAUAAACUCAAUCUCACCUUAUUAUUAAAAGUUAUGAAGACACUGCAUGGUAU